CAUCCAUAUCUGUCAGUCAGAUUAACCUUCUCGAUCCUCAAUCCCACUGACAUGAUGAAAAUCAUCGCCGGAACGGCGUUAAGUAUAGCAGAAGAGAAGGUUGAUGAUAUAUAAGACAGACCCAGAAGAAAUAACCAUUGGUUCAAUGUAACCCUACAAUCAAUAAUUAACAAUCAACCAUACAUCACCAAUAUGUAAAUACUGCGGAGUUCGGAUGGGAUCCAGUGUUUUAUUGCUGGUAUGAUCUCACUCAAAACAAAAAAAAAUAUAAAUACUGAUCAAUGAAUGGUGAUUGGAAUUGAAACUUACCCAAUCAGCGCGAUAAGAAAGAAUUGGAGCAGCAAUGAGAGUGUUAGAGGUGGUCUGUCCUUCCUGUAAGUAAAUGAUUCGGUGAUUGAUGGAAUAUUACAAAUAUGCAAUGUGAAGUUAAUCAUAUGUAUUGAUUGAACUUACUUUUCAAGAAAAUAUGCAAAGGGUGCCAAGAAUAAGAAACCAAUGAAGUUCCUGUAAGUUGAGAACACAAGUUUGCUCACACCCAUGUUCAGAGAGAGAGCACACACCACAAGUAAACCUGCAAGAAAAAGCUGGAGAACCAACACUCCCAAAAUAAGCUUCAUCUCUCUAGCUUGAGUACUCUAAAUUCUAACUACCUCUUCUUCUCCUCUACCUCUUUUCAUUUAAGCUAUCUUUGCUGCAAAAUCGCUCAAUUACUGAACUACAAAUUGCAUGAUACCACCUCCAAAACAAUAAAUGCCUGGGCUUCUGCUUCACCCCAUGUUCCUUGUCUCCAAUAAUUGGCACCAUAUGUAUGUUGGUGAAAAUAGUCGACGCCGCAGGUCAAUGACGUAAGCAUUGUCGAGGAAGGGGAAGAAGUCACCGUGCAUUUAAGAAAGGGAAGAGACCCCCCCAGCCCCAGAACUCUUCCUCUGUCCGUUUGUUCCUUGUACUUUGCAUUAUUUGCCUCUAAAUUACUCGGUGUAGCUUGUCAGAAAGAGAGUUAUUAUUAUUAUUUGAAGACAUCUACGAUAAAAGUAUAAUAGAUCAACCUUUUACUAUAUAACUAAACUACAUAGUUAAUAAGUGAGAGUCAAUAAAUUUUUUGCUUUUUUUUUACUUCUAUUUGUAUUUCUAUUCUCUAUUGUAAUUUCGGCUAUGCUUUUCAUUUUUAAUGAAAUUUAAUUGUUUUAAAAAAAAGGUAUUUAAGUUAUGGUCUGGGUUGGGCAGAAAAGAGAUUUAACUUAUAACUAAUGUUAGCAUUUUCUUAUCAUCCCUUGAACUUUCAUCAAACAUUUUCUUCUUCUCUAAGUAGCAAUUCAUCAAACACUUUCACUACAUCUUCAAGUUAUUAUAUUGAAAAAUGGAAUAUGACAAUGAUAUAAGUCAUGAUUGAGACAUAUAUCAAUACAUAUCUUAGAAUUAAAUCAUGUUUUGACAGAUCUCAUCUUUUUCUUCAUCUUGAUUAAGAAGUCUCUGGUUAAUAUCAUGUUCAUUGCUGGUUUGGUCAAUAAAUAUUUCAGUCUGCUCCUUCUUAUGAUUCUUCUUCUCCCCACUCCUACCCCAUAAAACAAGGUAAAGUCCAAUCACAAUGAUCAAACCACCAAUAAUCCUGUGGAAAAUAAAUAAAUAAAAUAAAAUCAGCAAGAUUUUUUUGUUAUAUAUUAUAUCAGAUGCAUGCUUUGAUGCUCACCCUCCAGAAUACAGUUGGUCACCAAGUAAGAAGAAACCCAAAACAGCAGUAGUAAAAGUUUUAACAGGUCGAAAACUCCAACAAAGAGUGGUCCUCCACCAUUAAUGCACCAUGCUUGAAGUGGAUAACAUAUCCCAGAUGCAACAACUCCCUGCAUAUAAAAUUUUGAUUAAUAAAAUAUUUUAUUCAAAAUUCAAAUCAUGAACAGCUAGAUAGAUGAUUAUAGUGUAUUACAGUAUAGAGCAAAGCCAGAAUCUCUCCUUUUGAUUUAAUCUCCCACAUCUCGAUAUCUCUCUCAGUGAAUGCUGAGAUAGCAGCUAAUUGGAUUGAUGCAAACAAGCAAGUGUAGGCAUUGAGUGUGAGCUUUGCUGGAUACUUCUUUAACAAUGGAUCUUGAAGUACCAACCAAGUUGACCUUGCAAGACAAGAUCCAAACAUGAAGAUACAUCCUAAGAUCCAUUUGCUAAUUACCAAAUCUGUUUGUUGCAGUGAAAAUGAAUUAAGGAGAAGUGCAGGACCCUUGAAAAGAGUUAUAACAGUAGCUCCUACUACUGUUAUUAAUGUUCCAACCAGUUUCCUCCAUCCAUAUCUGUCAGUCAGAUUCACCUUCUCGAUCCUCAAUCCUACUGACAUGAUGAAAAUGAUCGCCGGAACGGUGUUAAGUAUAGCAGAAGAGAAGGUUGAUGAUAUAUAAGACAGACCCAGAAGAAAUAACCAUUGGUUUAAUGUAACCCUACAAUCAAUAAUUAACAAUCAACCAUGCAUCACCAAUAUGUAAA
RNAcentral lists this long non-coding RNA (2466 nucleotides) under Zostera marina. Its description in RNAcentral is "long non-coding RNA (ZMAR_LNC005420)". Lineage: Eukaryota; Viridiplantae; Streptophyta; Magnoliopsida; Alismatales; Zosteraceae. The record is from RNAcentral.